This is a long non-coding RNA of Homo sapiens (human), 3218 nucleotides long. Ensembl annotates it as mir-100-let-7a-2-mir-125b-1 cluster host gene. Its record names the gene MIR100HG. Lineage: Eukaryota; Metazoa; Chordata; Mammalia; Primates; Hominidae. The record is from Ensembl.
GAAACACCUCGCCCAGCCUAGCGCACUGAGAGCUCUCAUUUUCCCCCCUUGCUCGGGAUGGUGCCACAGGAGGCUGUGCGGGCCCCGCUCCGCUUCGAAUGGAUACAGUUAAGCUAAUGAUCUCGAGAGGAUAUCGUCCUGGAUAAGGGUGGAGCCUACGCCCAAAAACAAGAUUACCUGAAAGAGAAAAGAAAGGGGGAAAACACACAGAGAUACAGUCGGGGAGGCCACAUGAAGAUGGAGGCAGAGACAGGAGUGAUGAGCCUGCAAGCCAAGGAAUGCCAAGGGCUGCCAGCAGCCAUGAGAAGCUGAGAGACACAGAGAACGAGUCCUCUGCCAGAGCCUCCAGAAGGAACUAACCCUGUCAAUACCUUGAUUUCGGACUUCUGGACUCCAGAACUGUGAGAGAAUAUAUUUCUGUUGUUUUAAGCCAUUCAGUUUGUAGUAAUUGGUUACAAUAGCCAUGGGAAGCUAACAUAGGGUCCUUCAACAAUCAAAGCAAAAAAGAGGACCUAUUAGCACAUGGAGUGCAAAGGAGGAAGGAAUGACUGAGCUGUUUGAAAGUGCAGCGGGAUGUCAUGGGCAACCAGAACUCAGGUCCAAAUUCUGCCAGAACUCUCCCUCUGUGUUAGUCUAUUCUCACACUGCUAAUAAAGACAUACCUGAGACUGGCUGAUUUAUAAAGGAAAGAGGUUCAAUUGACUCACAGUUCUGCAGGGCUGCGGGGGGGACUCAGGAAACUUACAAUCAUGACAAAAGUGGAAGCAAACACAUCCUUCUUCACAUGGCAGCAAGGAGAAGUGCCGAGCCAAAGGAGGAAAAGCCCCUUAUAAAACCAUCAGAUUUCAUGAGAACUCACUCACUAUCAUGAGCACAGCAGCAUGGGGAUAACUGCCCCCACGAUUCAAUUACCUCCCACCAGGUCCCUACCAAGACACGUGGAGAUUAUGGGAAUUACAAUUCAAAAUGAGAUUUGGGUGGGGACACAGCCAAACCAUAUCGGUCUCUUUCCUCUCUGCUUCACUGUCAUUGAAAACUGGCAUUCUUCACUUGGCAGCAAACAUUGCUGCUAACAUCUUUUGAGUUUUUUAUUGUAUGGCUUCAAUCAUCUCAGACAUACUAACUUCCUUUCAUAUUUCCAAAUUAUCUGAAAGAAUCUUACUUUCCUAAUUUGGGUCAUGUCUCACCCUGAACUAACCAACAGAGGCUAAGCUGCCAGGAUCUUAUAAAAUAUGACAGCUCCUAAGGAAACCACUUGAAUGAGUGGAGGUGCUGGGCACCCAGGAGUCCAUCACAUGGGAUCUUUUCUGUCUGUGAUAUGAUAGCCAUUUUUUUAAGGACAACAGUGUGGCAUUUGCAAAGACAUUUGUUUUGUGGACAAGACAUGCAAGUGAAUCUGAGCUCUGCCAUUUACUGGAAGUGUGACAUUAGCAAGUCACUUGGCCUUUCUGAGCUUUCUUAUCUUGUAAAAAAUGAGGAUAGAUUGUUUGAUAAACACUCUACACCUAGAAGGAUCUCAAUAAUGUUUGUUAAUAAUGGUCAUAGAAGUAUAGAACUUAAAUGGACCUUAAAGACAGACAAGGUUAAUCACCUUAUUUUUGCAGAUGAGAUUUCAGAAUUUAAGUUGGUGAGAAAACCAGGACAAGAAUUUAGGUUACUUAACUACCAGAUUAGUGUUUCUUUGUUAUUUUAUAUGAUCUGCCCCCAUCCCUGUGGAUAUAAAAUAAGGUCUCAUCUGAAAGGUGUUAUUCAACUAAAGAAAAAGCAGCUUUCUUAGAACAGACACUGAUAUUAGGCUUUAGAUUAGAUAUUAACACAGGGAUAAAGGUGUCAAAAAAGAAAGACCAAAGAAUUGUGUUGGGAGUUAAAACGUGAAGGACACAGUCAAGUGCCUGCAAAAUCUUGCCAUUUUUGAGCCUAUAAACAGUAAUUACUUUGAGACAGCAUUCACACAAAUAAACUAUGAUGGGUUCAGACCCCUCUGAUUAUUAAGCCAUCUUGUUUACAUCCCUCUAUCCUGUGUUUCUUUUCCUUUGGCUAUCCUUAUUAUAUAAAUAAAAACAGUUAGGAAGAGCCUAUUUGCGUCAGUUUGACAAUGAGAAAAUCAGGAGAAAGGUUUUUCCUUCUUUGGGCCAAGCUUUGGUCCUUGUAAGAACAAUUGCUAAUAUGUCUAGUGACUAUAGUUCUGAUCAUUUUUAUGCUUAUAAAAGCCUGAUGCUGAAUGCCUAUGUUUUAAAAUUUUUAUAAGAUCAACUUUGCUUUCAGAUAACCCUCCUUCCUCCACCUCACAAAAACUCACAAGCUGCAACCCUUCUGAUGUCCACUCCCACACAAACCAGCUUCAGGCCUUUUUCAAGAGUGCAGGAAAUUCUACCCCCCAAGUAUGGCACCUUGGCAUGCUGAGUAUUUUAAGCUGAAGGAAACAGAGAAAACCACAGAAGCAGAAAGGUCUUUCUGACCUCUCUUGAAGACCCUCAUGUGACAGGUGUCCUGCCCUACAUCCAGAGAGAAGGAAUGUUCCACAGACAGACUAAGAAGAAUCUGAAGAAUCAGGCCUUACUAAGUGCCCUCCAGUGGAUGCUGUGGGGCACCACCUCCUUGAGGACCAAGGCACUCCAGCUGCCAGGAAUUUGGCUGCUAACCUCACACAGCUGAGCCUUCCAUGAAAAUUGCUCUCUGCCAAAGAGAACUUCCUAGUCCAAGGUCAUGUCUACUCUCCAGAGAUGUGACUGGAGUGAUUUGCACCCGGAUGCCUAGACUCGCCAUCUGCUCAAAGACUGCUCAGAAAGCCCUCCCAUGCAUUCCCCUGCUGCAUACCAGCCCACUCUGCCUGCAGCUGCUGUCUGCAGGACUUCAUAUCUAUGCCACACUGUGUAAAAGCUGUGCUUCAAGAAAUCACAAAAACAUUUUCCUGCACCUACUACACAGCCUGAGUGCGGCAUAAGUUGACCUUGCUUGCUAAGAAAUGGGGCAAGAAAUGCUUUUUUGUGUGUGUCAUGUCUGUUUGUUUUUCAAUUAAGAGAGGAAAGCAUUAGGCAGAUGGAAUGUACAUGUGAGGAUGAGGAGACAGAAAACAAGUAGCCCUUUCCAUCAAGAUAGAGGGUUUUCUGGGGUUGCUGGCUAUUGAAUGUCACUCCUGAUUUCUCUUUCCAAGGCACUGUACCACCAGCCUACUGAGAUUGUGUGGGAGCUUUCAUGGGGGUUGUAUUUCACUGAUG